GGUAUCGUAGGUCCGAGCGUUGUCCGGAUUUAUUGGGCGUAAAGCGAGCGCAGGCGGUUUGAUAACGUCUGAAGUAAAAGGCUGUGGCUUAACCAUAGUACGCUUUGGAAACUGUCAAACUUGAGUGCAGAAGGGGAGAGUGGAAUUCCAUGUGUAGCGGUGAAAUGCGUAGAUAUAUGGAGGAACACCGGUGGCGAAAGCGGCUCUCUGGUCUGUAACUGACGCUGAGGCUCGAAAGCGUGGGGAGCGAACAGGAUUAGAUACCCUGGUAGUCCACGCCGUAAACGAUGAGUGCUAGGUGUUGGGUCCUUUCCGGGACUCAGUGCCGCAGCUAACGCAUUAAGCACUCCGCCUGGGGAGUACGACCGCAAGGUUGAAACUCAAAGGAAUUGACGGGGGCCCGCACAAGCGGUGGAGCAUGUGGUUUAAUUCGAAGCAACGCGAAGAACCUUACCAGGUCUUGACAUCCCGAUGACCGCCCUAGAGAUGGGGUUUCUCUUCGGAGCAUCGGUGACAGGUGGUGCAUGGUUGUCGUCAGCUCGUGUCGUGAGAUGUUGGGUUAAGUCCCGCAACGAGCGCAACCCCUAUUGUUAGUUGCCAUCAUUCAGUUGGGCACUCUAGCGAGACUGCCGGUAAUAAACCGGAGGAAGGUGGGGAUGACGUCAAAUCAUCAUGCCCCUUAUGACCUGGGCUACACACGUGCUACAAUGGCUGGUACAACGAGUCGCAAGUCGGUGACGGCAAGCUAAUCUCUUAAAGCCAGUCUCAGUUCGGAUUGUAGGCUGCAACUCGCCUACAUGAAGUCGGAAUCGCUAGUAAUCGCGGAUCAGCACGCCGCGGUGAAUACGUUCCCGGGCCUUGUACACACCGCCCGUCACACCACGAGAGUUUGUAACACCCGAAGUCGGUGAGGUAACCUUUUAGGAGCCAGCCGCCUAAGGUGGGAUAGAUGAUUGGGGUGAAGUCGUAACAAGGUAGCCGUAUCGGAAGGUGCGGCUGGAUCACCUCCUUU
Molecule: ribosomal RNA, 1012 nt
Filed under: Streptococcus suis
Lineage: Bacteria; Bacillati; Bacillota; Bacilli; Lactobacillales; Streptococcaceae
Description: bacterial SSU rRNA
Rfam family: Bacterial small subunit ribosomal RNA
Source: RNAcentral